GUCCCUGUAGUGCAUUGGAUAGCACUUCGGACUCCUAAUCCAAAGGUUGUGGGUUCGAAUCUCACCUGGGAUG
This is a non-coding RNA of Trichonephila clavipes, 73 nucleotides long. NCBI's taxonomy places the organism in Eukaryota, Metazoa, Arthropoda, Arachnida, Araneae, Nephilidae. The record is from the annotation of a GenBank genome assembly.